GCCGAGGUGGCGGAACCGGCAGACGCGGCGGUCUUAAACACCGCUGAGGGCAACCUCGUGAGGGUUCGAGCCCCUCCCUCGGCA
This 84-nucleotide transfer RNA is filed under the name Chloroflexota bacterium. RNAcentral's name for it is "tRNA-Leu". It matches the Rfam family "tRNA". Rfam says of the family: Transfer RNA (tRNA) molecules are approximately 80 nucleotides in length. Their secondary structure includes four short double-helical elements and three loops (D, anti-codon, and T loops). Further hydrogen bonds mediate the characteristic L-shaped molecular structure. tRNAs have two regions of fundamental functional importance: the anti-codon, which is responsible for specific mRNA codon recognition, and the 3' end, to which the tRNAs corresponding amino acid is attached (by aminoacyl-tRNA synthetases). tRNAs cope with the degeneracy of the genetic code in two manners: having more than one tRNA (with a specific anti-codon) for a particular amino acid; and 'wobble' base-pairing, i.e. permitting non-standard base-pairing at the 3rd anti-codon position. Lineage: Bacteria; Bacillati; Chloroflexota. The record is from RNAcentral.